RNAcentral lists this ribosomal RNA (397 nucleotides) under uncultured bacterium. Its description in RNAcentral is "bacterial SSU rRNA". It matches the Rfam family "Bacterial small subunit ribosomal RNA", at positions 358 to 772 of the family's 1533-position model. The record is from RNAcentral.
GGAAUAUUGGACAAUGGGCGAAAGCCUGAUCCAGCCAUGCCGCGUGAGUGAUGAAGGCCCUAGGGUUGUAAAGCUCUUUCACCGGUGAAGAUAAUGACGGUAACCGGAGAAGAAGCCCCGGCUAACUUCGUUCCAGCAGCCGCGGUAAUACGAAGGGGGCUAGCGUUGUUCGGAUUUACUGGGCGUAAAGCGCACGUAGGCGGUUUGUUAAGUCAGAGGUGAAAUCCCGGAGCUCAACUCCGGAACUGCCUUUGAUACUGGCAAGCUAGAGUCCGGAAGAGGUAAGUGGAACUCCUAGUGUAGAGGUGGAAUUCGUAGAUAUUAGGAAGAACACCAGUGGCGAAGGCGGCUUACCGGUCCGGAACUGAUGCUGAGGUGCGAAAGCGUGGGGAGCAAA